CACGUAGUUAGCCGGAGCUUCUUCUGUGGGUACCGUCAUCGUCGUCCCCACUGAAAGCGGUUUACAACCCGAGGGCCGUCGUCCCGCACGCGGCGUUGCUGCGUCAGGGUUUCCCCCAUUGCGCAAAAUUCCCCACUGCUGCCUCCCGUAGGAGUCUGGGCCGUAUCUCAGUCCCAAUGUGGCCGGUCGACCCCUCAGUCCGGCUACCCAUCGCGGGCUAGGUGGGCCGUUACCCCGCCUACUACCUAAUGGGCCGCGACCCCAUCCCUUGCCGUCUGGGCUUUCCCGGCCCCUCAUGCGGAGGGGCCGGAGUAUCCGGUAUUAGCCGCCGUUUCCAGCGGUUGUCCCGGAGCAAGGGGCAGGGUUGGUCACGUGUUACUCACCCGUUCGCCACUCUAUGUCCGCCCGAGGGCGGUUUAAUCGUUCGACUUGCAUGUGUUAAGCACGCCGCCAGCGUUCAUCCUGAGCCAGGAUCAAAACUCU
This 483-nucleotide ribosomal RNA is filed under the name uncultured Eggerthella sp. Its description in RNAcentral is "partial 16S ribosomal RNA". Lineage: Bacteria; Bacillati; Actinomycetota; Coriobacteriia; Eggerthellales; Eggerthellaceae. The record is from RNAcentral.